RNAcentral lists this ribosomal RNA (460 nucleotides) under uncultured bacterium. RNAcentral's name for it is "partial 16S ribosomal RNA". It matches the Rfam family "Bacterial small subunit ribosomal RNA", at positions 338 to 795 of the family's 1533-position model. The record is from RNAcentral.
CCUACGGGAGGCAGCAGUGAGGAAUAUUGGUCAAUGGACGAGAGUCUGAACCAGCCAAGUAGCGUGAAGGAUGACUGCCCUAUGGGUUGUAAACUUCUUUUAUAUGGGAAUAAAAUGUUCCACGUGUGGGAUUUUGUAUGUACCAUAUGAAUAAGGAUCGGCUAACUCCGUGCCAGCAGCCGCGGUAAUACGGAGGAUCCGAGCGUUAUCCGGAUUUAUUGGGUUUAAAGGGAGCGCAGGUGGAUUGUUAAGUUAGUUGUGAAAGUUUGCGGCUCAACCGUAAAAUUGCAGUUGAAACUGGCAGUCUUGAGUACAGUAGAGGUGGGCGGAAUUCGUGGUGUAGCGGUGAAAUGCUUAGAUAUCACGAAGAACUCCGAUUGCGAAGGCAGCUCACUGGACUGCAACUGACACUGAGGCUCGAAAGUGUGGGUAGCAAACAGGAUUAGAUACCCCUGUAGUC